Molecule: long non-coding RNA, 382 nt
Organism: Puntigrus tetrazona (Sumatra barb)
Lineage: Eukaryota; Metazoa; Chordata; Actinopteri; Cypriniformes; Cyprinidae
Exons: 3
Source: RefSeq, a predicted model, not a curated record
UACUUUAUAAAUAAAUGUAAGUUUUCAAAAUUAGGGUACAUAAAUUUUGAGGUAUUCCAGAUCAGGUCUGGUUUUGUCACAUAGACCUGGCAACUCCGCUCUGAAGACCUGGCAACCCUUUUCUCUGGAGUCAGAGGACGAGUAACAAGACACUCUUGCUGACCAGAAACAAAUCUUGAGACCACGAUGGUACUGACGGUAAAGGUGGCUGUGCUGAUUGUGGCCUUUUUGGGGGGGCUUGUAAUCAUCACCUCCCCUAAGGGACAGAAUAGAAGUAUUCAGACUUGUUCUGUGAACGAUUCAGAGGAGCGUCUCAGAGAAAAGGCCCAGAAUGCGUUAGCUGACAUUGGUUCUAAACGUGUACUGCAUCCUUCUAAAAAGA